Molecule: non-coding RNA, 989 nt
Organism: Arvicanthis niloticus (Nile rat)
Lineage: Eukaryota; Metazoa; Chordata; Mammalia; Rodentia; Muridae
Source: RefSeq, a predicted model, not a curated record
GGCCCGCGGCUGGACCCCGCCUUCAUCUGGCUCACCGCGCCCUUUUCCUUGGCCCCACCGGAAAGCCAAAACAAUCGGUGCCGCGCAGGCGCGGGAAGGAAACGGAAAGCAGGAAGGGCGGAGGCGGCGCGAGCCUCCAACGCCUUCGGACGUUCAGUUUGCUACGGCCUCGGAAGUAUUGGCACCACGGAGAUAGCCUGCAGUUUGGAAGCAAAUGGGUGCAGAGGACGGUCUCCAUAAGUGACGCCUCCAGCCAGUACUUACUGCAAUGCAGCAGACGUCCUCCGUGCCCCAAAUUUCAAAGCAAAGCCUUGAAGCAGCAAGUGCUUGUGGUCUGAGCCUGUUUUAUAACUCGCUGUGGCUUGUUAGCAAGCAAAAAUGUUACCGAUUUGCUUAAAGAUAACAUGCAACAAAAGCAAAACAAAAAACCGUUCAGAAUCGCCUACUUCUUACUAACUUCCACCGUUAGAACAAAUCCAGUCUGGAGAAUAGGGAUGACUACAAGAUUAAAAAGCGUUAGGUAAAGGGGCAGACACCUCUAGUCCCAGCUGGCAGGAGGCUGGAGAAAGGAUAUUAGAAAUUCCAGGCUGUCCUUCGCUGAGUUUGAAUUUUAACCGGAGCCCAUGAACGACAUGAGACCAUUUCAAAGUACUGGUUUGGUGUCUGUGUGUGUGUGUGUGGGGGGGGGGGGGGUUUAACGCCCUCAGAAAUUGUUACAGAGCUUAUAGCAAUGUAUCUAUCUUGCUUCCCUAUAAGGAUACAAAGAAAAUCUUCUUGACUGCUCUUCUAUACAAUGUAUCUAUCCACUCCAUUUUUGCUUCCCUGUAGUAACACGAAGAAAAUCUAGUUGACCGACGUCUUUAUGAAUACCUAGCACCAUAGCACAAGGAACUUCUUUGUAGUGAUGUGACUGUUCUGUAUCUUGAUUGUGUGUAUGGAAUGCAUAGGUCACAACCCUAUAACAAUAAAAUUAACAAAGUUUAAUCUGA